RNAcentral lists this ribosomal RNA (247 nucleotides) under uncultured bacterium. RNAcentral describes it as "partial 16S ribosomal RNA". It matches the Rfam family "Bacterial small subunit ribosomal RNA", at positions 796 to 1041 of the family's 1533-position model. The record is from RNAcentral.
CACGCUGUAAACGAUGAGGACUAGCUGUUGGUAGACUUCGGUCUGUCGGUAGCGCAGCUAACGCGAUAAGUCUUCCGCCUGGGGAGUACGGCCGCAAGGCUAAAACUCAAAGGAAUUGACGGGGGCCCGCACAAGCGGUGGAGCAUGUGGUUUAAUUCGAUGCAACGCGAAGAACCUUACCUACCCUUGACAUCCUGGGAAUCCUGCAGAGAUGCGGGAGUGCCGCAAGGAGCCCAGAGACAGGUGC